Long non-coding RNA from Zea mays, 1683 nucleotides. RefSeq lists it as uncharacterized. The transcript is spliced from 2 exons. The record is from RefSeq and is a predicted model, not a curated record. NCBI's taxonomy places the organism in Eukaryota, Viridiplantae, Streptophyta, Magnoliopsida, Poales, Poaceae.
UAGGAACAAGAAUUACUACAUUCGGAGCUACGGUUACCAAGGUAUGAAUUUCUGGAGUUAUUUAGUACCUACAAUAGAGUCAUUCAAGCGAAUGAUUUUAAAUUAAGUUUCAUGGCUAAACAAAGGUACUAGGUGAUAAACAGUGUUAAAACAAAAUUAAUGCAACUGGAAUGGAUCAAUUUGAAGUUAAAACGGAUGAGAUAUGGAUUAAACAAGGUUAUAGGUAUUUUACUAUUAAAUUUAUACCUAAAUAAUACUUCCAGGGGCUCUUCUGCUAAUUCCAGGGACUUAUCUGUGAAAUAUUCUUACGAUCGAGGGAUGGCGGGUUGAUUUGAGAAUACUACAGGGGCUCUUUAAUAAAACUGUCAUCGCGAAGGGGUAUCUUUAAGUCUCAGCCGUUGGAUUAGAUCUGGACGAAUCGGAUUGUGAGCAUGAAGGGAAAACAACCCGAGCCACACAUCAAUAAAUCCAUGGUCCGGAUCGGGUUGGCCCAUAGCAGUACAUAGGUUUUAAUCUGCACCGCCCAUUUGGAUCUAACGGCCCGCACUCUUCUUCAACCCCCAAGGAACUGCGCAGAGGCGGCGCCAUGGCCACACGGUGGAGAACGCGACUGUGGCACCAAUUGGCCUCCCCCGAGCACCACAGUCAAAUUGAACGGAGCUACACGGUGUGCGCGGCAUCGCGAUCACAAUGGAUGUAUUCUUACCGGCAUUGAGGUACGGAUGAAGCUUGGCCACGGCGCACGACGGAUUCAUGGCGUCGCUGCGCGACGGCGAGAAAUUCCCCGCCACCAGGUUGGCCAUCGACCCCGGUGCCGCAUCGAACGCGUCCCAGGCUCGCCAAUGGCCCAGGGGAUGCCGCGGCCACGGAUUUAUACCCAGGGGCGAGGAUGAGUUCGGUCAAGCCGCGCGACAAGUGCGGGAGAUCCUCCGCGGAUUCCGCGGCGUUAGCCGUGCGCAACGGAACGCAGGGAGGGGAUGAAUUUGUUCUGUGGACCCCACCCCCGAAUCCGCAAGGCGCGCGGCGAGUGGCUCAGGGCAGCGGCGAUUCCUUCCCUCUUAUUCACGGGCGCCCAGUAGUCGCGGACACCGCGGCGAAGACUCCGGCCGAACUCAACGACCCUGGCGAGCUCCCAGGCGAGAGGCUCGGUCUAGGCAGGUGAGACACCAUCAGCGGUAAGAGCAGAGAGGGCAAGUUAGGCCAGCGCGGGCGGCGAGAAACACGGCCGGGAUCGGAUCUUGCCGCGCGCAGAGAUCGACGGAUUCGUUGGAGUCCGCCACGAUCGGGAGCUGGGAGGAGAGUCUGUUCGCAGGGCCCAAGUGGCAGAGGCGCAGCGGUCACUGACCCAGGCGGCCCACGCGUAAGAGGCUGUUUCCGCAGCGCACGCGAUGUGAGGCUGACGGGGCGGUACGUGGGCCCACAUGGCGGCUAGGGUUUGGCGCAAGCACGCGCACUGGUGGAGAACUGGGCUACGGGAGUAAGGGGAAUGGGCCGGGGAGAAGAAGUUGGUCCACAACGCCAAAUGAAGCCUUUUUUCUUUAUUUCAUUUUCUUCCUCUUCUCUUUUAAAUUUAAAUCUCAAAUUUGAAUUCAAAUAGUGUUGUGAACUUGUACCCAAAUUAAUGUACAAAAUAAACAUACUAGUAUCGUAGUUAUUUAUUUAUGUAUAGCUUUUAUUUUGUUU